AGCAAAUUUAUCAGCACAACACUGACACUCUUUUAUCCCUUUCACACUGCCUUAGUUUAUCUAUUAAUUGCCAGCUCAUUUCCUUCUUUGACAUUCUCACAUUUGUUUGGCUGAAACUUGAAAUAGUUGUCAGAAAAAAGUUGAGAAAGGUAAUUUCUCACCAUCAUCUCUGUUGUCUUAGAUACUUGAUACGGGAAGCUGUGGAUAUUGGUUAUAGUAUUUAAGGUAUUCCAUUCUCUUUCUUCUAGUUACAAACUUCGCCUCUCUUGCCUUUCUGCCACAGAAGAGACUAUGGAACUCAGACUUGAUUAAUUUGAGCAACAGUGAUUAGUGGAUUAUCAAGUGUCGUAAUCAAACAGAGAAUUUGUCUCUGGGUUUGAUACAUAGAUUCUCAGGGGAACUUCUUCCUAGGGUGGUUAAGCUGCAUCUUCUGGCAGAUUAAGUUCUCCACCACGUGAAGAAGGUAUCUCUGCAGCAGGAGAAAAUGAGAUUACUGUGCCAAGAGAGGUAACUCCUAAACUAAAGGUACAUCAGACCCAACAGGCAGAAAAAGAGCCUGCAAGGCAAGAGAAUGAGACCCAAAUGCUGCACCAGUGUAAGCUGAAGUACAAAGGAGGCCAAAAGUUUACCCUACUAUGUUUGAUUUUUAAAAUUCUAUAGCCCAUUUUAUGUUAAAAAUCCUAUCACCUCUUUUUUCAAAAUGUCUACCCCCAUCCCAAACAUGAGGACCACUUUUUCUACCCUCUUCCAAAUGUGAAACCUGCUGAGAAAUUAAAAAGAACAGAAGUCAAUAGGCACUGAGGAAAAAGAUGGGUCUCAGAGUAGGUUUGUGGUAGGUACAAAACAUUUAAAGUAUUAGUAUAACUCCUUUAACAAAAGUAAGAUAAUUCUUUUACUUUCAGAAUUUUUAUUUGCAUAACUUUGUUUAAUAGACAACUGAUUGAACUUUGAUUAUAAAAUAAUUAUGAAAACCCCAAAAUGAAUGUGACUGCUUGCCGUAACUGAUGCAGUUACAGUUUGAAAGUAACACAUGUCUCAAAGAGAGGACACAGCAGAAAAUUUAGAAUCAUAAUUUUUAGGCAGUAACUGUUGAUGAAUGCCAAUUUUGAAUUAUUUUAAAAACCAGAGACUAAUAAAUAGUUUUAUAGGACACAGUUUUAUAAAACUUAAAAGUAAAUUUUUUUGUGAACUCUCUA
This 1196-nucleotide long non-coding RNA is filed under the name Papio anubis (olive baboon). RNAcentral's name for it is "lncRNA (ENSPANG00000044006.1)". Lineage: Eukaryota; Metazoa; Chordata; Mammalia; Primates; Cercopithecidae. The record is from RNAcentral.